GUGCCGAUCAUUCGAAAUCUUGAAGAAACGCGUACACCAGUCGUUGGAGAACACGUUCACCACUUUGAAUCCCGAAGAGCACCAAGAACACAUGGUAAUCGUUCAUCAUUCAAGCGGAGACGUACUGCAUUGUCCAGAUCGAGGGGGAGUACCAACAAGUUUAUCUUUGGGGUGGAGGUCCUUCCACGCGGAGGAGACUUGCAUCCGGAACCUUUUAUUCCCGAGGAUAACUGGGACGUCGUGUUUUUGCUGAUUGCGUAAAGCCUUCCCAGUGGACUUACAUAAGAGUUAGGCUCUGACCUGGCUGCUAUCGUUUCUCGCUGGCGCUGGCGACGGUGCUGCUGGUGUGGUGGUAGUGUUUAAUGAUAUUGUGAAGAGGUGAAUCCCUAAAACGUACCCCACAUACAUACCGACGUGAAGCAAGUACUCCGUUCGGUAAAUAGUGGGAUCCGGCAUUAGGUCGACCUAAUUUGCACAUCUUUUAAUACGUUCACGCGUGAUCGCGUCCUCGCGUGCAACGUGGACGACUUUGCGCUGUGGUGUUUCCUCAGGAUCGAAUAUCGUUGUUUGCUCUUGCUGCGAAAUUCCGCCGCAUGCUUAUGUGUUGCACAUGCGUUACACAUCGCACAAGAAGAAAAGAGAAACUCAACUUAACCACUCUUGUCACAUGCAUUUUACAAAAUUGCAAAAUUACAAAAAUGGCUUACAAAAUUGCAAGUACCUAGUUAAUUAUUAUUAAUUCUAUGGAAGGUGUCUACACCGUAUUUUACCAUUUCAUCGAACCAUAGUAAAAUAACGUGACCAGUGAGAUUCGUACGUUACUUUAAUAAAUUUCCUAUUUUCUUUUUCUAAACAUAUGCGUUCGAUAUUAAUAUAGAUACAAAUAUAAGGUAGGAAGAGGAAAUAUAAAGUAGAAAGCGAUUAAAAGCUUACACAGCAAAAAUAUGAUAUGUGAAUCUUUCUUUUGUCCGCCCAUACACUCUGUUGAUGCACUAGAUUAUUACUAUGCCAUAAUUGCGUUGGAGUCACAAUUUUGUUGACUUUAUAAAAAAGUGCGGAUUAGUAUCUGUAUCAUCAAUCGAGUUAGUUGAUUCAAAUAGAACUCAAACGUCUCAUGUACGUUGUCAGUUAAUACAAUUAUAUAACUUAAUCGGACAAGUAUUAAUAAAGAUUAUGAGAAAAA
This is a long non-coding RNA of Ooceraea biroi (clonal raider ant), 1183 nucleotides long. RefSeq lists it as uncharacterized. The record is from RefSeq and is a predicted model, not a curated record. NCBI's taxonomy places the organism in Eukaryota, Metazoa, Arthropoda, Insecta, Hymenoptera, Formicidae.